This 771-nucleotide long non-coding RNA is filed under the name Homo sapiens (human). Its description in RNAcentral is "HSALNT0318978". Lineage: Eukaryota; Metazoa; Chordata; Mammalia; Primates; Hominidae. The record is from RNAcentral.
CAGUGGCCGAUAUAUGGUACUGUUUCUCCCAUAGCCAAGAUUCAGGAGUCCAGGAAUCAAGGGGUGGAAAUGGAAGUGGCACGACUCACCAACACCCCUAGAGAUCCACUGGCAAAAUUUUUGCUUCCUGUUCCCAUGACAUUAUAUUUUGCUGGCCUAAAGGUCUUAGUUCCAGAGGGAGAAACACUGCCGCCAGGAGACACAACAACGAUUCCAUUCAAUUAGAAGUUAAGAUUGCCACUUGGACACUUUGGGCUUCUCCUACCUUGAAGUCAACAGGCUAAGAAGAGAGUUACUUGGCUGGGGCGAUUGACCCAGAUUAUCAAGAUGAAAUCAGUCUACUACUCCACAACUGAGUAGAGACGGGGUUUCACCGUGUUAGCCAGGAUGGUCUCAAUCUCCUGACCUCGUGAUCCGCCCUCCUCGGCCUCCCAAAGUACUGGGAUUACAGGAGUGAGUCACCACGCCCGGCCGGAUUAUGGAUUUUUAAGAGGAAAACCACAGAGGAAGCCAAGCCACACUGCUAACUGAUGAGAGACCAGCUUGAAAGAGGGAGGACCUGCCAAUUGCCAUCAGCACAACUCCAGAUAUAUGGGAGUCAGGCUUUAGGGCAAAAACCGGGGAUCACAGAAUGCUUGCUCAAUCAACUUUGCUCAUCCAAAAUCACAAAAAUCGCCUCAAAAAAUGUUGAUGAUAAUUUAAUUUUCUUCACUCUCCAUGAAGAUGUUAGAUAAUGCUCACUCUGGGUGAGAAUAAAAGCCAGACUCAUCA